Molecule: unclassified non-coding RNA, 377 nt
Filed under: uncultured bacterium
Lineage: Bacteria
Description: contains 16S-23S intergenic spacer region
Source: RNAcentral
UCCGUCUUGACGACGGCAGUCUCACUAGAGUGCCCGGCUUUAUCCGAUGGCAACUAGUGACAAGGGUUGCGCUCGUUGCGGGACUUAACCCAACAUCUCACGACACGAGCUGACGACAGCCAUGCAGCACCUCGACAUCUGCCCUUGCGGGAGCCUGCUUUCGCAGGAUGUCAGAUGCCGUUCGAGCCUGGGUAAGGUUCUUCGCGUUGCGUCGAAUUGAACCACAUGCUCCACCGCUUGUGCGGGCCCCCGUCAAUUCCUUUGAGUUUCAACCUUGCGGUCGUACUCCCCAGGCGGGGUACUUCCUGCGUUAGCGCCGGCACCCAGAGGGUCGCUCCCCCAGGCACCUAGUACCCAUCGUUUACGGCGUGGACUAC